CGGGGCAUAGCGCAGCCUGGUAGCGCACCAGCUUUGGGAGCUGGCUGUCGGGGGUUCGAAUCCCUCUGCCCCGACCA
RNAcentral lists this transfer RNA (77 nucleotides) under Gammaproteobacteria bacterium RIFCSPLOWO2_02_FULL_61_13. RNAcentral's name for it is "tRNA-Pro". It matches the Rfam family "tRNA". From Rfam's summary of the family: Transfer RNA (tRNA) molecules are approximately 80 nucleotides in length. Their secondary structure includes four short double-helical elements and three loops (D, anti-codon, and T loops). The record is from RNAcentral. Lineage: Bacteria; Pseudomonadati; Pseudomonadota; Gammaproteobacteria.